UACGGAGGGGGCAAGCGUUGUUCGGAAUUACUGGGCGUAAAGGGCUCGUAGGCGGCCAACUAAGUCAGACGUGAAAUCCCUCGGCUUAACCGGGGAACUGCAUCUGAUACUGGAUGGCUUGAGUUCGGGAGAGGGAUGCGGAAUUCCAGGUGUAGCGGUGAAAUGCGUAGAUAUCUGGAGGAACACCGGUGGCGAAGGCGGCAUCCUGGACCGACACUGACGCUGAGGAGCGAAAGCCAGGGGAGCAAACGGG
RNAcentral lists this ribosomal RNA (253 nucleotides) under uncultured bacterium. RNAcentral describes it as "partial 16S ribosomal RNA". It matches the Rfam family "Bacterial small subunit ribosomal RNA", at positions 524 to 776 of the family's 1533-position model. The record is from RNAcentral.